ACUUUACACACAGCGGUUCUUAAAGUACAGACUGGUUCCCGGAUAGCUUCAUUAUGAAACGUAUAUUAAGAUCCUGUGCUAAGCGAAACUCGCGAGGUGCCGGGAAAACGCAACUACGUCACCCAGUGAAGGACAGCAUCUGCCUUCUGUCAUUGUGCGUGAUGAAUGGCUUGCGAAGAUUCUAAAUGAGAAAUACUGCAAAGAAAAACGCGUAAAUGACGAGAAAUUUAACAACAGACUGACUCCUUUCCCAAGUUCAUCAUUCUGCAAUCAGAAUAAGGUGAUAAACAAACAAAAUAAUAAUAAUAAUAAUAGUAAUUAUUAUUAUUAUUAUUAUUAUUAUUAUUAUUAUUAUUGUUAUUAUUAUUGCUUUGUCACUGUCGUGAAGCACGCAGUGUUUCCCCGGGACUCGGCUCCCCCUGGCGGCAGGGACAUUGAACUGUCUCAUCUACGCAAGGUGCCCCCAUUGUUGGAUUACUAUUUUAUGGAGCUGAGGGCUGUCCUGGGGGAGGGGCUGGAUGUCGCGGGACUGGAGCCUGAGUGGCGUGAGAUGUUUGCCUUUGCCUGGAGAGACUUUCACCACUUUCUCCAGGGAUGGAUGAUGGGCCAUCACAAGGUCAUCAAGUACAGCAAGUUUUGUUUUAGAUACUAGUGCAGUGUGACCCUCUGUACUUGUAGCUGAGUAAAGACAUUCAGAUGUCCUCCACCCAUCCAAAUCAUACAGUCUGGCAGAUUGGUAACUCCUAAAUGCCCAGUGUGUGAUUAGCUCAGUGUGUGGAUGGCCAUGCCAUUCUGGAUGCCCCCCUACCUGGUACCCUGUAUUUUUGGGAUACAUUCCAGGCUCCAUCCCAUGAUCCUGUACUGGAAAAGCAGCAGAAAGACGAAUGAAUGGGCUCCGUGGAACAGAAAGUCAGUCAUCAGAACCCCAACCCCAACCCUAUCAAAGGUCAGUGGUAACAUCACCUUGCAUGCACCUGGACUGAAAAGAAUGAUGUCAUCCUGCUACUCAAGAUCCUGCAGGGAAAUCAUACAAAAGCUACAAUGAUUUAUUUUAGCAAAGAUGGUUUUGCUUGCCCUUCCAUGACAUGAGACUUUAGCUAUUCUACAGACGUGAUGAACUGGCUAUCAUUGUGAGGUAUGACUACACUACGUGAAGUUCAAAAGGACACAAUAUGGUCCAGUGAGGCAUUCAAAGCUAUAUAUAUAUAUAUAUUUGCAAACUGCAGCCUGGUUCUGUUUCUCAUUAAUGAAGGGCUUCUUCCUUGCUUUAUGGGACUUCAGUCCUGCUUUUAGGAGCCUGAUACGAUUCAUGACAAACUGUCAGAUAAGUUGCUGGUCAUCUCUGGCAUUAUAAAGUCACUUCUGCUCUU
Long non-coding RNA from Brienomyrus brachyistius, 1370 nucleotides. RefSeq lists it as uncharacterized. The record is from RefSeq and is a predicted model, not a curated record. The transcript has 2 exons. Lineage: Eukaryota; Metazoa; Chordata; Actinopteri; Osteoglossiformes; Mormyridae.